Long non-coding RNA from Pezoporus occidentalis (night parrot), 1343 nucleotides. RefSeq lists it as uncharacterized. The record is from RefSeq and is a predicted model, not a curated record. NCBI's taxonomy places the organism in Eukaryota, Metazoa, Chordata, Aves, Psittaciformes, Psittacidae. The transcript has 3 exons.
UUCAGAACAACUUGCCAAGAGAUGGAGUGGAUUUUCUGUCAUUUGAAAUCUCUAAAUCAGGAUUUUAUUUUAAUUAUUUUUUUUUUUAACUAUGUAUCUUUCUGCUCAUCCUUAGAAUAUAGACAAUGCACAGGAAUUACCAGCUGGAAACCUCUGUCUCGUGUUAUGCAAGGUAUCAAGAUAGUCCCUUCUGGCUGUAAAUCUGUGCAUAUAUAUUUUAGAUAGAGGUGACGAAAGAAUAGAAAGAACCAGAUAAAAAGGUGCAGAGGCUGAUGGUAGAAUUGUCUGGUUACUGGAGAUAUUAUUAUUCUUUAACAUUCAAUUUUUGAUUAAUUUCUUUCAGGCUCAGUCUUGAAAGGCUUAGGUCUUAAAAAUUAAACUAAAUAAGAAGAGAAUGUAGCUGGAGGGAUUUGCCACGGGAUGGGUUUUGCACAUAAGGCACAGCCAGAGGUGCUGGGGGUGGGGAGGGAAAGUGGAGAAUUUGUGAAUUAAGAGCAGGCAGGCAAACUGUUUAUCGUUGCUGUUGUUCUUAAAUCUAUGGAUUCCAAAGGGAGUGGAUUAUAUUUAUACAGAUGUAUAGAAAGAGGCUUUUGCUUGAAACAGCUCCUAAUGCAGGUGAAAACCAUGUAUUGAUUACUUAAAGAAAGUUAAAAUAAAAGCAAUUUUUUCCCCGUUUCCACACAUUGCAGCUUUUGGCCUAUCCACUCACAGCUAAAAAAGCAUUCUUUCCUGAUAAUCAAGCUUCAGCUGUCUGAAUUUCAGGCCGAGCCUCUCAUCUUGAGCUUUGCUGAAGAGCUUCUUUAAUUAACCAUUAUACCACAGAUGUUAUUGAUUUUUUUUUUUUUUCAAAUCUGGUUGAAACAUCAUUGUGCUGGAUCGUCGCCAAGAUGAAGGCCUGAAUUUUUUGUGCACUGCUUUUACUCCUUCUGCAUACCUUAUUAGUCUCCAUGUCUGUUAAGUGCAACCUGUAGUAUUGACUCAGAAAAUAUAGCAUUGAUUUUUACCCUUCCAGCCGUGAUCUAAGGGCUCCUAAUUUGGAACGUGGAAACCAGAGUUCUGCAAGAAGCUGUAUUACUGUACACUUCCUACAACUGCUGUUGCUACUGUGCAUCGUCCUGCAUGCUCUGUGCCUGCGUAAAGAGGCUACCGCUGUAAGACAAAAUCAUGUUAAUGGCUGGUACUGAUAAUGGGCAUGGAUCUCAUGCUUGGGAACAGCAUUUGUCGUCUUCAGCUUGAAGACCUGGAACAGGAGGCUGAGUCUUCAAGCACACCUUAGUGUAGGUCCUCAGCCUUCUCCACCUCUCUGGACUCUGCUGGCAUCUCCAGCAUGCAGGGGAAAGGCA